GAUGAACGCUGGCGGCGUGCUUAACACAUGCAUGUCGAACGGUGAAGCAGGAGCUUGCUCUUGUGGAUCAGUGGCGAACGGGUGAGUAACACGUGAGCAACCUGCCCCUGACUCUGGGAUAAGCGCUGGAAACGGCGUCUAAUACUGGAUAUGUGAUGUGACCGCAUGGUCUGCAUCUGGAAAGAAUUUCGGUUGGGGAUGGGCUCGCGGCCUAUCAGCUUGUUGGUGAGGUAAUGGCUCACCAAGGCGUCGACGGUUAGCCGGCCUGAGAGGGUGACCGGCCACACUGGGACUGAGACACGGCCCAGACGCCUACGGGAGGCAGCAGUGGGGAAUAUUGCACAAUGGGCGGAAGCCUGAUGCAGCAACGCCGCGUGGGGGAUGACGGCCUUCGGGUUGUAAACCUCUUUUAGCAGGGAAGAAGCGAAAGUGACGGUACCUGCAGAAAAAGCACCGGCUAACUACGUGCCAGCCGCCGCAGUAA
This 484-nucleotide ribosomal RNA is filed under the name uncultured bacterium. RNAcentral describes it as "partial 16S ribosomal RNA". It matches the Rfam family "Bacterial small subunit ribosomal RNA", at positions 28 to 523 of the family's 1533-position model. The record is from RNAcentral.